CUGGUUGAUCCUGCCAGAGGUUACUGCUAUCGAGGUUCGACUAAGCCAUGCGAGUCGAAUGUAGCAAUACAUGGCGAACUGCUCAGUAACACGUGGACAACCUGCCCUUAGGUUGGGCAUAAACCCGGGAAACUGGGUAUAAUACCCGAUAGGUCUCGAUUGCUGGAAUGCAUCGAGAUUUAAAGCUCCGGCGCCUAAGGAUGGGUCUGCGGCCUAUCAGGUAGUAGUGGGUGUAGCGUACCUACUAGCCUACGACGGGUACGGGUUGUGUGAGCAAGAGCCCGGAGAUGGAUUCUGAGACACGAAUCCAGGCCCUACGGGGUGCAGCAGGCGCGAAAACUUUACAAUGCUGGCAACAGCGAUAAGGGAACCUCGAGUGCCAGGUUACAAAUCUGGCUGUCGAGAUGCCUAAAAAGCAUUUCAUAGCAAGGGCCGGGCAAGACCGGUGCCAGCCGCCGCGGUAACACCGGCGGCUCGAGUGGUAACCGUUAUUAUUGGGUCUAAAGGGUCUGUAGCCGGCCGGAUAAGUCUCUUGAGAAAUCUGGCAGCUUAACUGUCAGGCUUUCAGGAGAUACUGUCUGGCUCGAGGCCGGGAGAGGUGAGAGGUACUUCAGGGGUAGGGGUGAAAUCUUGUAAUCCUUGAAGGACCACCAGUGGCGAAGGCGUCUCACCAGAACGGGUCCGACGGUAAGGGACGAAAGCUAGGGGCACGAACCGGAUUAGAUACCCGGGUAGUCCUAGCCGUAAACGAUGCUCGCUAGGUGUCAGUCACGGUGCGACCGUGAUUGGUGCCGUAGGGAAGCCGUGAAGCGAGCCACCUGGGAAGUAUGGCCGCAAGGCUGAAACUUAAAGGAAUUGGCGGGGGAGCACUACAACGGGUGGAGCCUGCGGUUUAAUUGGAUUCAACGCCGGG
Molecule: ribosomal RNA, 913 nt
Filed under: uncultured archaeon
Lineage: Archaea
Description: bacterial SSU rRNA
Rfam family: Archaeal small subunit ribosomal RNA
Source: RNAcentral